GAUAAUUCACGGAAUCGCCAACUUCGCCUCGCCGAAAAAAGGCCUGAUGCUCCUCUCCGGAAUGCAGCCUUCCGAUGCUAUUCACUUCUAAAUUGCUCAGGUUUUCAAAACUACACAGCUCCAAAAUUUCAUCCAAGACACCGCUGUUCUCUUCUUCGAGGGAAAACGGACACCCCAGGAAUUCAGACAGUCUCCUCAAUUGAACCCUGGGCUCCCUUUUCAUUUCCUCGUACUUCAAGAAAAAUACCCUAUGAGGCCUUUCCAGGCUCUCCUUCCAAUAGCCCAAAACAUGGUCCCAAAAUGGCCCGUACAAACUCACUCCCCUACAGAAUUUAUCGAGGGUCUCUUCAAGUGAACUAGCACCCCAAUCAACGGGUCUCAACUUGUUAGUGAAGUGCCAAAGGGACACGAAAGUGUCCUUAGGAUUCCUACACAAGUAAACAAGCUUGCAAUCAGAGUCCUCCACAGAUCUGGGAAGUGACAAGAGUGGGAGAUGAGUUGAAAACAGCCUAGGAAUAGUGAAGUUGGUGAAGUCAAGAUUCUCUUUGCCAAUGUAUUCCAUCUCCAAGAAAGGCACAAGAGCAUGAGGGUUGUUAGCGAGCAAAGGGUGUUGUGUAGUGUCAGGAAAGGAAACCCGAUUCACCAAGGCAAACAUCAAGGCCUUUAACCAAGUAGAGCCUGAUUUAGGAGUGGUGACAAGAAAGAUAUCGCCAUCUUGGGCUUGGAAGUGUUUUUGGCAAGCUAGGACCCCUUGAAGUUGCCUAGUUGAGUGCCAAAAACCUUGGUAUUGAUGGACAUGUUUUGCAAUCCAGCCUUUCUCAGUGGGCAUAGAGGCUAUCAAGUCUUUGAAUUCCUGGGAGGUUUCAUUUUCUUGCAAGAAUACGGGAAGAGACAGAGAUUGCUCGGGGCCUGCCAUUGUAGCUCAAGAAGGAGUGCUUUGAGAUUUUUAGGGUUGAGUGAUAUAUUUAAGCUGAUCCUUAUAUCAUUCCCGUUAACAUUAUAUAGACCUGGAAGAACCCACCUCAUACUUUCAGUGAUAUGAUGAGAAAUAAAUAAAUAACAAAAUAAUAUAUACAAAAGUACAGAAGCAGGCAAGGGAGAGGGUGAACUUGUGACGACGACCCUUGACCUUUGGUUCCUUUUAAGAUCCUCCUGAAAAUCAUGUUCGAUUUGUUAGUUGAGAGGCUGCUAUUAACAGACCCGCCUUCAUUUUUUUAUAUCAAAUUGGGUACAAUAAAAAGGUUGAACGAAAAACCUUAUGGUCUUCUCUGUGCACCCAUGCCAUGACACGUGUUGUUAUGGCAAUUAUUUAAUGUAUAUUUUGCUGCGUGAAUUAAUGAAUUUCACCAUGUGAUCGCCUUGUAUUGAUUGUUACCAUUUUGCUCCAAACUUUCUAUGAACAAAUUCAUAUUAGAAAUAGCAGUGACAAUAAUUUUGCCCAGCGGCCAAGCAGCAUAUAUGCCUUUAAAAAAUGAUAUGAUCACACGGGAUACGGCCCUCGCUUUCAGUACAUAAGGCAUUUAAUCGUAGAAUAACAGGUUGGUGUGGACUGCCUAGCUAGAGCUUAUCAAAUUUAUUUUUAAAAGGGCCAGAUAUGAAUAUUCAGGAAUUGUUUUUUUCUUUGGGUCUAAAAAGAAAACUUCUGAACACCAACUUCUGAAAUAUGCACAUUUAAUGUUUCAGAGAUUAUUUUACUCAUACAAGUAAAAAAAAGGGUUAUUUAAAGAAAUAAUUAAUAUCCCAGAGCUAGUAUGUGAAGUUAAUUUAAAGGUAUUUUUAGCAACAUUUAUAUCUGCUCUAUCAUAGGUAUAUGAUAUUAUGAAACAGAAUAUUCAAGAUAAUAUUAAUCUGCAGAAUAUUCAUGGAAGGAAAACAUUAACUAUAUGCUAAUUAGUCUGGAAGGUAAUUAAAACUCUUUCAACUAACCAAUUAAAAAUUCACAUCCUGAAUUCCAAACCAAACAUAACUCCAUUAUGUUCUGUUACAUGUGUUGUGGCACUGUUUGUUUGUGCGACAGACCGUUUUUUUUAAGAUUUUUUUAUUUUUUAUCUUAAAAUUAAUUUUUAUGUUGUUUGAGAUUGUUUUAAUGUAUUCAUAUCAAAAAUAAAAAUAUUAUUUUAAUAUAAUACUAAAAAUAGCAUUUUAAAAAACAAUAUAUACUGUAAUUCUAAACACGCUAAUUAUCUCAUCUCUGUUAUCACGUCUCAUUUAUCCUAUCUAUGACAGUGUUUGGGAACAUAAUUAAAUCAUAUUUCCUAAAAAUUUGGCUUAAAAUUCAUUCAUUUUUUAUUUUUAGAUUGUUUUAAUAUAUUAAUUUUAAAAAUAUAAAAUAAAUAAUUUUUAAUACAAUUAUAAAUUAAAAAUAAUUUAAAUCAUAAUUACUAUUACUGAACACUUUAUAAAUCAAACUGUAGCACAGGAAGGGUGGCAAAAAUUAGAGGGGAGGGUAUACAUAUUUUGACCCAGCAAGCUCACGAGGACCCAAGAAAAUAGUGGGCUGGAGCCCAUUACUCGGCUCCUGACAAUUACAGAAGCUGCCAGGCCGGAGUGCACCGUUGACUGGGCUCUAGGAAUUGAAAAUGAUCGUCCGAAUUCACUCGCUCUAGAAAGCCCAGAGCAGCAUUUUUCAGUUGUAAAGUGGAAGAUGUGAUUUGUGGGCUUUGACACGUGGAUCUAUAAAUUAUUUGAGAGCUGGGCUCUCGUCCAGUUCCCUUUUUGUAGCUACUUCGUUUGACGGAGCCGUAGCCCGUGAAACUAAAGAACAUCAACCUAGAAGGGUGCCAAGCGAGCAGCCGAAACUAGAUAGAAUAGCCUUGAAGAAGUAAAUAAAUAAAUAGAAUAUGAUAAUUUUAAAGAAAAUAAAAUAAUUUCAAUUAUAAAAUUCAAUUUUUAAUUUGAUAAAAAUAAUAAUUAAACUCUUCAAACCCACGAACUGAUACAUGGACUUUCUAAAAUUUAAUAAUAAUUUUUUAAAACAUUAUUUUUUUAACUAUAUAAUAAAAAAAAUAGAUAAUUAUAUAAUUAAGUUUUAUUUUUAAAAAAAUACCCUGUUAGACCUACAAACAGAGAAAUACAAGGUUAUAUUUUCAAGCUGACAAUUAACUCUAUAAAGCUUAAAUUAGUUUUUUCAAAAGCAUUUUUUAUUUAACUAAAUGUUUUUAAAAUUAAACCAUAAUUCAUUGCUAGAAUAUUUUUUAAUAUCAAUCAUAUGUUAAAAUAUUUUUUAUACUGAAAUAACUAUAUAAAAAAUAAAUUAUUAACUCUAAAUUCAAUACAAAUUUGAAGAUUAAGUAAAAAAAAAAAACAAUAACAAAAAAAGAAAAAAAUUGCUCAAAAUAACACAAAAAAAAAAGCACACUAUAAAUUGCUAUCGUUGUCCAUUAAAUGGUGUAGUAUCAACUUCCGGCUUUACACUUCAUACUUAAUAAUAAUAAAGCACAAAUUAACUUUGAAAUCACCUGAAAAGUAGACUUACCUUUCCUUUAUUAUUAUUAUUUGACGUAUCAAUUAUCAAUGCACUCAGAGGUUGAACUAGUAUAUUGUUAUAUUUUCCAAAUUCAAGAGUCACCAAACAUUUCAAUUUAUGAGUGACUCUAUAUAAACACAAACACAUUGUGGAUUGUUUUCGAAAUAGAAUAGUUUACCGAAAGUUCUAGGACAAAAACACAUGUUAAAAAAAUAUUUGAAAAAUAAUAUAGUUUUAACAUGUACAUGUUUUAGAAUAUUAUUUUAUAUAUAAAUUUUAUCUGGAAUAAAAAUAUAUAUUUUCUGGUUCAAUUUUAAAUAAAAAUCAAUCAAAUAAUUUAUAAAAAUUCAAUAGCCAACAGAUAAGAUUUAAGAUUAUAAGGUUAAGAAAAAAGAGGUAAUUGGAAACACACUUUGACUACUGGAUAUACAUAAAAUUUUAGAUUAAUUUUUUAUAUGUUAAUUAAAUUAAGAGAUACAUUAUUUUUAUAUGAGAACUAUGAUUUCCAGGUUGUAGUCAAGCACUAUUCUCAAUAAAAAAAAAUUAAUAUAUGUUUCUUUUUCAAAACUUUUAUGAAAUCGAGUUAGAAUUCUAAAAUACCCCCUUGUAGUGAUAAACUUGUCAUUUAAAGGAUUGUCCAUUUUACACCAAGAAAUUGUAGGAACCAACACAAACUGGGUUCAUAAAAAUAAUUGUAAACAAGCAAGAUUACAAAGCAUAGAGCAAUGGCAGGAAACUCACCAGGGAUACGUUAAUAAGUUUGGUGACGUAGCAAUCAGCAAAUCAAACAUAUUAAAACACUAGAAUGUCGUGCGUAAGCAUGCAGAUCUGCUCUGUGCAUAGUUUUAAAAUCUUGUCUGGUUUAAGAUUUAGAUUUUGAGUUUUAAUUGGGUUAGUUGGGUUAAUUUUUUUUAAAAAAAUCAAAACAUCGUCGUUCUAGUAAAAAAAACAAAAAAAAUAAAAAUCAACGGGUUUGCAGUCGGGUCUUAACCAGAUCUUGCCGGGUCAAUUGAGUCACACCGAAUUUUUUCUUUCCCUUUUUUUUCUUGAACCUGGUCCGGUUCUUGUCAAAGAUCAGCCAGGUUAACCCGUCGAGUGAGGCCGGUUUUUAAAACUAUGGCUCGGUGCUCACGCUUCCCUCGUUGAUACUGUAGCUAACAAUACCCAUCCAUGCCAUUAUUGCUUCCAAUUUUGAUUGACAAUAAUAGUGCAACAUAUGAUAAAUGGCCUAGAUGUUGACCAGCUUAACAACAAAUGAACAAAAGAUGCAUGGUGAUAAAUAGUAAAGAAAGAUGGUGCGGCCUUCGGAACGACUAGAACUUUAAACCAUGACAAUGCAACUUCUGCUCAGUGAUCAUGUCAAUUUUUUCCACCAUCUCAGCCGUGAGAUAAUUCAUGGAAUCGCCAACCUCGCCUCGCCGAAAAAAGGCCUGAUGCUCCUCUCCAGAAUGCAGCCUUCCGAUACUAUUCACUUCUAAAUUGCUUAGGUUUUCAAAACUACACAGCUCCAAAAUUUCAUCCAAGACACCGCUGUUCUCUUCUUCGAGGGAAAACGGACACCCCAGGAAUUCAGACAGUCUCCUCAAUUGAACCCUGGGCUCCCUUUUCAUUUCCUCGUACUUCAAGAAAA
This 5096-nucleotide long non-coding RNA is filed under the name Populus tremula. RNAcentral describes it as "long non-coding RNA (PTRE_LNC000453)". Lineage: Eukaryota; Viridiplantae; Streptophyta; Magnoliopsida; Malpighiales; Salicaceae. The record is from RNAcentral.